CUUCCCCUUUCUCCCCGCCGUCUUCUCUCUCGCGACGCCGCACCCUCCCCGCCAGCCCCUCGCUUCCUUCUCCACCUUCUCACGCCCCCUCCCCAACCGAUCCAAGAUACGAAAACAAUCCUCCUCUCCCCCCUCGAUCGAUCGAUCCCGACCGGCUGCGGCGGCGAUGGAUCUCUCUGGCGGGGCCGGCAGCGGCGCGACACUGUCGGAGAUGUACCAGAGCACGCGGCGGCUGCAGGGAAAGGGAGCCGCCGCGACCCAGCACCGGCGGGCUCCCCUCGCUCUCCGAGCUAGGAGGUAGUCUGCUUCUCCACGGUCGCGCGCUCACGCUGGUAGAGGAGCCACCCUACUUCUUCACCGGCAAUGACGCGGUCGUGCCCCCCGAAGCCUCUCGUCCGCGUCCGAUGCCAUACAAGAGAUGAUGACUGCUGUCGUCCUCCGCUCCUAUUGGCCGCAGCCGCCCCGCCCCCGCCUCUGAGGUCAAGGUCGACGCGGUGGAGAACGAGGAGGUCAUCGCGCACGCCCUGCAGGAGGAGCUCGCGCAGGUCGCCAUGGCCUACGGCGGGGAGGCCGAGCACCGUGCCACCGUCCUCGCGCAGUAGUGGUUCCGUCCCGAGGUCGUCAGAGCAAUAUUCCUCAUACAAAGCUGGUGGAGUACAAGGGGCACCAGAACUGGGUUAAUGUCUCGGGGAGCACCUGGAGCACCUGGUCUUUCCCGGAGGCGGAACUCAGUUCAAGCAUCAUGCUCUGCAUUACAUUGAUUUCAUUCAGGAGGCAAAGAAAGAUGUGGCAUGGGGAAAACUGACCUGUGUAGUUCUAGACGCAGGCAAAGAAAGGUGUGGGAUUAGGCCAGAGGUGGCCGGAUCUGGGAAAGGUAAGCCCCU
Molecule: long non-coding RNA, 884 nt
Organism: Triticum dicoccoides
Lineage: Eukaryota; Viridiplantae; Streptophyta; Magnoliopsida; Poales; Poaceae
Exons: 3
Source: RefSeq, a predicted model, not a curated record